Molecule: small nucleolar RNA, 103 nt
Organism: Manis pentadactyla (Chinese pangolin)
Lineage: Eukaryota; Metazoa; Chordata; Mammalia; Pholidota; Manidae
Product: small nucleolar RNA U13
Exons: 1
Source: RefSeq, a predicted model, not a curated record
AUCCUUUUAUAGUUCAUAAGCAUGACGAUGGGGUGUUCGUGCUUUUGUGUGACAUGCACCUCCCUCAAACCUUGUUAAAACUUCAGGCGUGACCCAUCUGACU